RNAcentral lists this small RNA (597 nucleotides) under Vigna angularis var. angularis. RNAcentral's name for it is "Non-protein coding transcript". The record is from RNAcentral. Lineage: Eukaryota; Viridiplantae; Streptophyta; Magnoliopsida; Fabales; Fabaceae.
CAUAGAUAAUUUAUCAACAUUGUUUGGAUUUGUUGAAAUCGAAUUACUUGACUUGGUUUUUUGUGUGUGCUAUUUUCAUGUGCUUAUGAAGACUUUCGGUAAAAAUUGGAGAUUUUAUAAUGAAUUUGUGUAAUUCUGUGACUCUCCGUGCAAUAUCAAGUAGCCAAUGGCUGUGGAAGAUGUAGACUUUAUUUUGAUAUCUACUUAGCUAUAAGCUACGAAAUGACUAGAAUGUUUUUUUACUGUAAUCCCUGAGUGAAUGGUUUUAGGUCAGUGAUUGUGUUGUGAGGGAUUCAGUUGGGUAUAUGAAGCAAUGAUCUUAAUAACAUUUUUUGUGAAAUAUGGUUUCGUAAAGCUUGAAGAGCAGGUAAUAUGUUGCUAGUAGAAGGAAUUAAAGCCGCUGGUUUUUGCCGUGAAAUGUUGGUUGGAAUGUUAAGUGAUAGUGGAAAAAAUUAUGUAAAACGGCAGCUGGAGCAGGGGCCUUUUUCCUCUGCUUUCCAUAGUUUUUCCGUAUGUUCCUUUUUCCUUGCUUUCCAUAGUUUUUCCUCUGAUUAAUUUGGUAUAAAAUUGUUAUUUAGUUACAUUGUAUUAUUGUCG